CCUACGGGUGGCUGCAGUGAGGAAUAUUGGUCAAUGGACGAGAGUCUGAACCAGCCAAGUAGCGUGAAGGAUGACUGCCCUAUGGGUUGUAAACUUCUUUUAUAUGGGAAUAAACUGUUCCACGUGUGGGAUUUUGUAUGUACCAUAUGAAUAAGGAUCGGCUAACUCCGUGCCAGCAGCCGCGGUAAUACGGAGGAUCCGAGCGUUAUCCGUCUUUAUUGGGUUUAAAGGGAGCGUAGGUGGAUUGUUAAGUCAGUUGUGAAAGUUUGCGGCUCAACCGUAAAAUUGCAGUUGAAACUGGCAGUCUUGAGUACAGUAGAGGUGGGCGGAAUUCGUGGUGUAGCGGUGAAAUGCUUAGAUAUCACGAAGAACUCCGAUUGCGAAGGCAGUUCACUGGACUGCAACUGACACUGAGGCUCGAAAGUGUGGGUAUCAAACAGGAUUAGAUACCCGAGUAGUC
Molecule: ribosomal RNA, 460 nt
Filed under: uncultured bacterium
Lineage: Bacteria
Description: partial 16S ribosomal RNA
Rfam family: Bacterial small subunit ribosomal RNA
Source: RNAcentral